UGGGAGACUAAUUUAGCCUUGGCCUGAAAU
Molecule: non-coding RNA, 30 nt
Filed under: Mus musculus (house mouse)
Lineage: Eukaryota; Metazoa; Chordata; Mammalia; Rodentia; Muridae
Source: RNAcentral